Molecule: long non-coding RNA, 323 nt
Organism: Physeter macrocephalus (sperm whale)
Lineage: Eukaryota; Metazoa; Chordata; Mammalia; Artiodactyla; Physeteridae
Exons: 4
Source: RefSeq, a predicted model, not a curated record
UGCUGGUGAGAAACCACGUCCUCCACCAGGCUCACGUGAGGCUCGGCCUUUCCUCUGGACGCUCCUGCCACGCGCCUGUUUCGACCGCUCGAACUCAGUGCAGUGCCUGGCAUACAGCUCUUGAAGAACAGACUUCAUGGUGCUACAUUAUGAGUAUAAAAAAAUCACAGGUUUGAUGAUACUCCUGCAAGUCAAAGGGGUGCUAUGACAACAGAGUGGACCUCGGUGCUUCCGGGCCCAGCCGACACGAGGAGGAGAGGAGGACGCUAAGGGCAGCAGCUACUCACCGCCAGGUCUUCGUUCAUCCUCCCGGUCCCGUCCUC